This 245-nucleotide ribosomal RNA is filed under the name Armillaria borealis. RNAcentral describes it as "partial 26S ribosomal RNA". It matches the Rfam family "Eukaryotic large subunit ribosomal RNA", at positions 3153 to 3401 of the family's 3401-position model. The record is from RNAcentral. Lineage: Eukaryota; Fungi; Basidiomycota; Agaricomycetes; Agaricales; Physalacriaceae.
AACGAUGAUGUUGGUGUCGCACAUUAGACUUGUGUUUAAAUAGAGCUUUGCUCGUGAACCAAAUAUGGUGGGCUGGGUUGUCUUUGUGGAAACGCUUAGGCGACUUGUCUACGAAUUGUAAUCAUAAUAUGGGCGGCGGUGAAUCCUUUGCAGACGACUUGAAUGGGAACGGGGUACUGUAAGUGGUAGAGUAGCCUUGUUGCUACGAUCCACUGAGGUUAAGCCCUUGUUCUAAAGAUUUGUUC